This 447-nucleotide ribosomal RNA is filed under the name Microbacteriaceae bacterium LMG 26816. Its description in RNAcentral is "bacterial SSU rRNA". It matches the Rfam family "Bacterial small subunit ribosomal RNA", at positions 11 to 456 of the family's 1533-position model. Lineage: Bacteria; Bacillati; Actinomycetota; Actinomycetes; Micrococcales; Microbacteriaceae. The record is from RNAcentral.
GUUUGAUCCUGGCUCAGGACGAACGCUGGCGGCGUGCUUAACACAUGCAAGUCGAACGGUGAUGUCAGAGCUUGCUCUGGCGGAUCAGUGGCGAACGGGUGAGUAACACGUGAGUAACCUGCCCCCGACUCUGGGAUAACUGCUAGAAAUGGUAGCUAAUACCGGAUAUGACGACUGGCCGCAUGGUCUGGUCGUGGAAAGAAUUUCGGUUGGGGAUGGACUCGCGGCCUAUCAGGUUGUUGGUGAGGUAAUGGCUCACCAAGCCUACGACGGGUAGCCGGCCUGAGAGGGUGACCGGCCACACUGGGACUGAGACACGGCCCAGACUCCUACGGGAGGCAGCAGUGGGGAAUAUUGCACAAUGGGCGCAAGCCUGAUGCAGCAACGCCGCGUGAGGGAUGACGGCCUUCGGGUUGUAAACCUCUUUUAGUAGGGAAGAAGCGAAAG